RNAcentral lists this transfer RNA (71 nucleotides) under Marmota monax (woodchuck). RNAcentral's name for it is "tRNA.Ala". Lineage: Eukaryota; Metazoa; Chordata; Mammalia; Rodentia; Sciuridae. The record is from RNAcentral.
UGUGGGGGCUGGGUUGGUAGAGUGCUUGCCUCGCGUAUAUGAGGCCCUGGGUUCAAUACCCAGUACCACAA